ACUAACAAGGAUUCCCCUAGUAACUGCGAGUGAAGCGGGAAAAGCUCAAAUUUAAAAUCUGGCGGUCUUUGGUCGUCCGAGUUGUAAUCUAGAGAAGUAAUGCCCGUGCUGGACCGUGUAUAAGUCUCCUGGGAUGGGGCGUCAUAGAGGGUGAGAAUCCCGUCUUUGACACGGACUACCAGUGCAUUGUGGUAUGCUCUCAAAGAGUCGAGUUGUUUGGGAAUGCAGCUCAAAAUGGGUGGUAAAUUCCAUCUAAAGCUAAAUAUUGGCGAGAGACCGAUAGCGAACAAGUACCGUGAGGGAAAGAUGAAAAGAACUUUGGAAAGAGAGUUAAACAGUACGUGAAAUUGCUGAAAGGGAAACGCUUGAAGUCAGUCGCGUUGGCCGGGGAUCAGCCUUGCUUUUGCAUGGUGUACUUUCUGGUUGACGGGUCAGCAUCAAUUUUGACCGCUGGAAAAGGGCCUGGGGAAUGUGGCAGCUUCGGCUGUGUUAUAGCCCCUGGUCACAUACGGCGGUUGGGAUUGAGGAACUCAGCACGCCGCAAGGCCGGGUUUCGACCACGUUCGUGCUUAGGAUGCUGGCAUAAUGGCUUUAAGCGACCCGUCUUGAAACACGGACCAAGGAGUCUAACAUGCCUGCGAGUAUUUGGGUGAAAAACCCGAGUGCGCAAUGAAAGUGAAAGUUGAGAUCCCUGUCGUGGGGAGCAUCGACGCCCGGACCAGAACUUUUGGGACGGAUCCGCGGUGGAGCAUGUAUGUUGGGACCCGAAAGAUGGUGAACUAUGCCUGAAUAGGGUGAAGCCAGAGGAAACUCUGGUGGAGGCUCGUAGCGAUUCUGACGUGCAAAUCGAUCGUCAAAUUUGGGUAUAGGGGCGAAAGACUAAUCG
Molecule: ribosomal RNA, 886 nt
Filed under: Agaricus xanthodermus
Lineage: Eukaryota; Fungi; Basidiomycota; Agaricomycetes; Agaricales; Agaricaceae
Description: eukaryotic LSU rRNA
Rfam family: Eukaryotic large subunit ribosomal RNA
Source: RNAcentral